RNAcentral lists this transfer RNA (69 nucleotides) under Labidura japonica. Its description in RNAcentral is "tRNA-Glu". Lineage: Eukaryota; Metazoa; Arthropoda; Insecta; Dermaptera; Labiduridae. The record is from RNAcentral.
UCGAAGAUAGUUUAAAUAAAAACAGCGUCUUUUCGAGACGAAAAAGGCUUAUUUACUAGUCUCUACGAA